This 1008-nucleotide long non-coding RNA is filed under the name Sus scrofa (pig). RNAcentral's name for it is "lncRNA (ENSSSCG00070014065.1)". The record is from RNAcentral. Lineage: Eukaryota; Metazoa; Chordata; Mammalia; Artiodactyla; Suidae.
GCGCGCGCGCGCCCCCGGCGGCCCUCCUGCCUCGGCGCCUUCAGGCCCAAGGUGAGGGCUCUAAUCGCCAGGCGCGCGGGAACGGCGGGCGUGUCUGGCGGUGAGGGUGGCGCUUGCCUCUCCCUCCCUCCCGGUGAGGGUGAUUUGGCGUUCAUUCCCUCCUCACAGUGUCAUUCGGAGCCAGGUUGGCACUGAGGCUUCUGCACGAGGAGGAUUAUUCAAGUUGGUCUGGCAGUGCUGUUCUUUGAAAAUCUGGCCUUCUGAAUGUUCUCAACUUGAUUUUGUGUAAUAACCUCUAAUACCUCCCUAGUUUUUCCAUGAACCAGUGUUUGAAAAGCGUGAACACUAAUAAAGAAACCCUUACCUUUUAAUGAAGAGCAGUGGGUCUUGGUGGGCCAGAGCUACGACUGGGCAAGUCCACUAUCAAAGUGGGGGGACACCCCUCUCUACUCUACCUUUGUCACUGCCCAAGUAUCUCUUUGCAUCUACUGAGUCUUCUGGAGGUUGGAGGGUAUGCUGGCUGGAGAGAGGAUGGGCGCCAGCAGCAGCUUGGCUGGAAGGGAUGACAGUGCCUAUCAAGUACCUGUUUCAUCAAUAUUAACUUGUUAAUAUCAUUAAAAUGUUUAGUAUGUACCCUGAUCUAAAGAAUCCUUUUGGAAAAAAAUAGGAUUUGAAGACUACUUUCUUAAUCUCAUUAUGGUUAUUUAGCAUUCUCUUUAAAGUCAGGAACAGAAUAGGAAUGCCAACUAUUACUGAAUUAAUUCGAUGUGCUUUAUUGUCAUGGCUAGCUAAGAAAAAAGAAAAAGCACUGAGGAUUACUUCUCUACCUGAAAAUUCCAAGUGGAUUUACAGACAGAUGGAAUACUUCUUAUUACAGAAAUAAUAAGAAUUCAUCAGGGUUGCCAUGUAUUUGAUCAGGAUAGAAUUAUUUGAAAUCUUAUUUGUCACUUUAAACAGUUCUUUUAAUGUAAUAAUAAAAAAUCACAGUUGAAAUAGUAGUAAAAACUU